Cryptomeria japonica (Japanese cedar) is the source of this 956-nucleotide long non-coding RNA. RefSeq lists it as uncharacterized. The transcript is spliced from 3 exons. Lineage: Eukaryota; Viridiplantae; Streptophyta; Pinopsida; Cupressales; Cupressaceae. The record is from RefSeq and is a predicted model, not a curated record.
UUAAUCUUAUUGAAUUUGAUUGUUUAUUUAACUAACUGGAGUGUUUGUGAAUCCAUGAUAUCUUUAGGCUGUGAGGAUUAGCCAAGCCAGUGAUAGAGAUUAAGCAUAAUCUAGCAUGAUGCCAGAAUGCAUAUUGCGAUAUCGCAGAUAAAAUGGUAGGCGCUCAAGGGGACCAUGAAUAAGAUUUUCUCCAUUGUACCUGGGACUGUGUUAGGGGAGCGCCACUGAGGUGUUGGUUUCACACAGAGGCGACAUCUAAUGGACAGCUGUAUUACAGUUUCCGGGAUGAAGCAGUCUUUUGGGAGAGUGAAUUUCCAAAGUACAGCAUGAGGACAUUUUCAGCACUGAAAUGAAUCAAUGGCAAGGAUGAUCUUACAAAGGUGAUGGAUGGUCAGCUUUUCUCCUUGCAGGGAUAAUUGCCAGUAUACUUCUAUAAACAUGCUAAAAUGGCAAAAGGUAAAAGAUUUUUUGUAUUGACAUGUGUAAAGUUCUACACAUGGUUGUGUUGCAAUCAAGAGGAUAACAUUUAUAUUGUAAGGGUUAUGAUAAUUUAUUUUAAAUAUCAGCUAAUAGUUACAACUUACAAGGACUGACUCUGCAAGAUUGCAUGCAGACUGUUCGUGUGUUAUCCCUUUGCAAUGUUCUGGACUUCAUUCCAACACAAAACGAAUAAUUGGAUAUCUUGAAACUAGAAAGCCAAGUUCUGAUAUAAUCCAUUAGUAUACGUUUAAAAUGCAAUCGUUUUGAAUUAAAUAGAAAUCCUCCCAUUGCAAUCCAAUUAAUUCUUAGGCCUUCAUUUGCAUAUCUUUUGGAAAACAAAGUAUGCAAUUAUGAUCAUGUAUUCCAAUGUUUGGUCUGAACUCAAUGCCACACCUAAUACCAGGCAUGAAUACAUUUAAUCUCAACCUAUCUGUGGUAGACUCUAGACUCUUAUGUGACGCAUUUCAUAUUACUGG